This 468-nucleotide ribosomal RNA is filed under the name uncultured bacterium. RNAcentral describes it as "partial 16S ribosomal RNA". It matches the Rfam family "Bacterial small subunit ribosomal RNA", at positions 28 to 507 of the family's 1533-position model. The record is from RNAcentral.
GACGAACGCUGGCGGCGUGCUUAACACAUGCAAGUCGAACGGAAAGGCCCUGCUUUUGUGGGGUGCUCGAGUGGCGAACGGGUGAGUAACACGUGAGUAACCUGCCCUUGACUUUGGGAUAACUUCAGGAAACUGGGGCUAAUACCGGAUAGGAGCUCCUGCUGCAUGGUGGGGGUUGGAAAGUUUCGGCGGUUGGGGAUGGACUCGCGGCUUAUCAGCUUGUUGGUGGGGUAGUGGCUUACCAAGGCUUUGACGGGUAGCCGGCAUGAGAGGGUGACCGGCCACAUUGGGACUGAGAGACGGCACAGACUCCUACGGGAGGCAGCAGUGGGGAAUAUUGAACAAUGGGAGGAAGCAUGAUGCAGAAAAGCAGCGUGCGGGAUGACGGCCUUCGGGUUGUAAACAGCUUUCGAAUGUGACGAAGCGUGAGUGACGGUAAUGGGUAAAGAAGCACCGGCUAACUACGUG